UCCUCGCUGAGUGGACGUGCCCUAGUGUAAAAUUUCUGUUAAUUGGGCAUCGCUGGAGUUCGAGUUUUUGAUCGAACGUGCUUAUCACACAGACUGUGAAGUGUAAAUGAGUGUGUUUUGGAGGCCGACAGCUGUCUUUCGUAUUUGUUAGUUUACCUUGGGACACGGUGCGAGUAACAAUUUGUAUUUUUUUGUGAAUAUUUUGGUUGGAAUUUAUUAAAAUUUAAAUAAUCCAUCAGUGAAUCUUGUUUUGCUGUUCUGCUCGAGGCCACAAUUCAGUACAGUAUAUUUGUGAAGAAUGCUGGAGAAAUUUUAUGUACUUUAGCAUGUAGGCUACCAUAGAGCGAAUUAAUGAAUACUCAUUAAUUCGCAUGAAAUUUUCACCGUUUUAUCUUUUGUACUUCUGUUUUGAUAUUCGUUGCACAUCUUGCCAUUUUAAAAACUAUAUCACAUAUUAAGGGCUUUGUCAUGCUGCAUACUGUUUGUGUAAUAAGACAUUUUCUUGAAAGUUGCUUAUACGUUCGUGUAAAAUUACUGUCUGUUUGCAGUAUGAAUGUUGAUGCGAAGCUGUUGUCAGGACAGUCACAAGAGGCCUUAAUUGUGAAGAGCAUUAAAUGUAGGGACAUGGCUUUCAGUCAUGAAUUCGCCCCACCACGGAAGUCGUAGGUUUCAAGUAGAUAUGUGAAGGUUGUCAGGCUGGGUCCAGACCAAUGGUGACCACUCACUUGCCACACGGGUUAAUCCCAAUGACUAUCAGAUCAGGAUAUCAGAACGACAGGAGGGGAUUAACAACUCUCAAAAGAGUUGGAAACCAGAACAGCAGCCAUCACAUAAAUGACAGCUCAACAGGAAGUUCCAAUAGACUGUUGAAUCUAGGUAUUGGCAGCCCAUUGGUGACAAGGCUUCUGAUUGGUCUGAAGAAUUGUGGGCGGGUACAUUGAGGGGGAUGAUUUCACACGUAUGCGGAAACUAACAUCGUAUUUUCAGAAAAUGAAAAAAAAAAUGUGCAAUACUGCAUAACGCAUACAUGAACAGGGUAUUGUAAUGAACGGUCUGUACAAGUAAUCAGAGAGGCCAGUUGAAGAAAUAAUGUGACCUCUGUAAAAUCAUAAAACUUA
This is a long non-coding RNA of Macrobrachium nipponense, 1118 nucleotides long. RefSeq lists it as uncharacterized. NCBI's taxonomy places the organism in Eukaryota, Metazoa, Arthropoda, Malacostraca, Decapoda, Palaemonidae. The transcript is spliced from 2 exons. The record is from RefSeq and is a predicted model, not a curated record.